UGUCAUAUGUAGAGAGCUUCUCAAACCAACUUUACAAAUUUGUUGUAAUGUUCUUUCCUAAAUAAACCUCAACAAAAUCGCUUUCCUAAUAUAAUACUUUACGGUUUGUUUGUCAAUAUAAAACUCACAUACAUAGUUCCACGUAGAAAUACAAUUUGCAAGAAACUAAUUGACAUUUUUUCUCCUUGAUAAACCUCUCAAACUCGAUUACACAAUAUAUUCAAGUUUUCUUUAUCAAUACUAAACUCACAUACAAUUUCGAUUUGCUAAUAUAUUACAUGACACAUUUUAUAAAAACACAACUCAAAUAAUCUCACACUUUAAAUAUGAUUAGUUUAGAGUUCCAUAUCAAUACAACAGAACUCAUAAACAACUUUGAGUCAAUCAGUAACAAAUCAUUGCAUACCUCUUUUUUACUCAAUAAUAGUUAAAAAUUGGAUUUUUUUUUGAAUGCUUCCUUUCACCAUUGACAAAUUGUAGAGAAAUGAUUUUUCUUGAUAAUUUGUUUUUCUUUUUCUUCAACUAUUAUCUAGAUUUUGAUUUUGCAUGCAUUUAGAAAUUAUAAUAUGAAACUAUUGGUUCGAC
This 585-nucleotide long non-coding RNA is filed under the name Brassica napus (rape). RNAcentral's name for it is "long non-coding RNA (BNAP_LNC020204)". Lineage: Eukaryota; Viridiplantae; Streptophyta; Magnoliopsida; Brassicales; Brassicaceae. The record is from RNAcentral.